RNAcentral lists this ribosomal RNA (472 nucleotides) under uncultured bacterium. RNAcentral's name for it is "bacterial SSU rRNA". It matches the Rfam family "Bacterial small subunit ribosomal RNA", at positions 36 to 507 of the family's 1533-position model. The record is from RNAcentral.
CUGGCGGCGUGCUUAACACAUGCAAGUCGAACGAUGAAGGGGAGCUUGCUCCCUGGAUUAGUGGCGAACGGGGUGAGUAACACGUGAGCAACCUGCCCCUAACUCUGGGAUAACGCUUCGAAAGGAGUGCUAAUACCGGAUAUGAGCCUGGAAGACAUCUUCUGGGUUGGAAAGUUUUUCGGUUAGGGAUGGGCAUGCGUCCAAUUAGCUAGUUGGUGAGGUAACGGCUCACCAAGGCAAUGAUUGGUAGGGGAACUGAGAGGUCAAUCCCCCACACUGGCACUGAGAUACGGGCCAGACUCCUACGGGAGGCAGCAGUAGGGAAUAUUGGGCAAUGGACGCAAGUCUGACCCAGCCAUGCCGCGUGCAGGAUGAAGGCGUUAUGCGUUGUAAACUGCUUUUAUACAGGAAGAAACGACUCUUGCGAGAGGCAUUGACGGUACUGUAUGAAUAAGCACCGGCUAACUCCGUG